RNAcentral lists this ribosomal RNA (465 nucleotides) under Vreelandella stevensii. RNAcentral's name for it is "partial 16S ribosomal RNA". It matches the Rfam family "Bacterial small subunit ribosomal RNA", at positions 338 to 795 of the family's 1533-position model. The record is from RNAcentral. Lineage: Bacteria; Pseudomonadati; Pseudomonadota; Gammaproteobacteria; Oceanospirillales; Halomonadaceae.
CCUACGGGAGGCUGCAGUGGGGAAUAUUGGACAAUGGGGGGAACCCUGAUCCAGCCAUGCCGCGUGUGUGAAGAAGGCCCUCGGGUUGUAAAGCACUUUCAGUGAGGAAGAACGCCUGGUGGUUAAUACCCAUCAGGAAAGACAUCACUCACAGAAGAAGCACCGGCUAACUCCGUGCCAGCAGCCGCGGUAAUACGGAGGGUGCGAGCGUUAAUCGGAAUUACUGGGCGUAAAGCGCGCGUAGGUGGCUUGAUAAGCCGGUUGUGAAAGCCCCGGGCUCAACCUGGGAACGGCAUCCGGAACUGUCAAGCUAGAGUGCAGGAGAGGAAGGUAGAAUUCCCGGUGUAGCGGUGAAAUGCGUAGAGAUCGGGAGGAAUACCAGUGGCGAAGGCGGCCUUCUGGACUGACACUGACACUGAGGUGCGAAAGCGUGGGUAGCAAACAGGAUUAGAUAUCCCUGUAGUC